Molecule: ribosomal RNA, 443 nt
Filed under: uncultured bacterium
Lineage: Bacteria
Description: partial 16S ribosomal RNA
Rfam family: Bacterial small subunit ribosomal RNA
Source: RNAcentral
CCUACGGGUGGCAGCAGUGGGGAAUAUUGGGCAAUGGGCGCAAGCCUGACCCAGCAACGCCGCGUGAAGGAAGAAUGCCCUCGGGUUGUUAACUUCUUUUCUCAGAGACGUAGAGAGUGACGGUACCUGAUGAAUGAGCCACGGCUAAAUACGUGCCAGCAGCCGCGGUAAUACGUAGGUCGCGAUCGUUAUCCGGAUUUACUGGGUGUAAAGGGCGCGUAGGCGGGUAAGCAAGUCAGAUGUGAAAGCUACGGGCUCAACCGGUGGCUUGCAUUUGAUACUGGUUUUCUUGAGUACUGGAGAGGUAGGCGGAAUUCGUAGUGUAGCGGUGAAAUGCGUAGAUAUUAGGAGGAACACCAGUGGCGAAGGCAGCUUGCUAGACAGCCACUGACGUUGAGGCGCGAAAGUGUGGGGAGCAAACAGGAUUAGAUACCCCAGUAGUC